This 262-nucleotide ribosomal RNA is filed under the name uncultured bacterium. RNAcentral describes it as "partial 16S ribosomal RNA". The record is from RNAcentral.
CUGCUGCCUUCCGUAGGAGUCUGGGCCGUGUCUCAGUCCCAGUGUGGCCGAUUAACCUCUCAGUUCGGCUAUGCAUCGUUGCCUUGGUAGGCCAUUACCCCACCAACAAGCUAAUGCACCGCAGGCCCAUCUUUAUGCGAAGCUUUAAAGGCUUCUUUACUCCGUAGAGCACAUUCGGUAUUAGCAAUCGUUUCCAACUGUUAUCCCCAACAUAAAGGUAGGUAACCCACGUGUUACUCACCCGUUUGCCACUCGAAGGGAA